Molecule: transfer-messenger RNA, 352 nt
Filed under: Acutalibacteraceae
Lineage: Bacteria; Bacillati; Bacillota; Clostridia; Eubacteriales
Also listed under: 1 other name
Description: RUG612 sp900320605 Standard tmRNA
Rfam family: transfer-messenger RNA
About the family: Bacterial tmRNA, also known as 10Sa RNA or SsrA, is named for its dual tRNA and mRNA-like properties. Its role is to liberate the mRNA from a stalled ribosome.
Source: RNAcentral
GGGGGUGCAAUGGUUUCGACGGGGAUCGUGAGUCCUGGUAAGCGAGCAGUGGAUUGCGUUAGCCACUUUAAAAAACGCAAACUUUAAAAAUAACUGACAACAGACAAGUUGCUCUUGCUGCUUAAUUAAGCAGCCGUUCUGCUGCGGAGCACCGCGGCCGCAGUAAGAGCGUCGAUUAGCGGUGAACGUGAAUCGGGGAGGGGUCCGGCCCCGGUCAUGCAUCUGGACCUACCAACGCAUCGAGCCCGGCUAUGGGCGCCUUGCAAAGGGGAUUUCAAAACGUAGCCUGCGCUCGGAGAAAACCUCGGCGAGCGGUUUUCGGACAGGGGUCCGAUUCCCCUCACCUCCACCA